This 423-nucleotide ribosomal RNA is filed under the name uncultured bacterium. Its description in RNAcentral is "bacterial SSU rRNA". It matches the Rfam family "Bacterial small subunit ribosomal RNA", at positions 358 to 773 of the family's 1533-position model. The record is from RNAcentral.
GGAAUUUUGGACAAUGGGCGCAAGCCUGAUCCAGCAAUGCCGCGUGCAGGAUGAAGGCCUUCGGGUUGUCAACUGCUUUUGUACGGAACGAAACGGCACUUUCUAAUACAGGGGGUUAAUGAUGCUACCGUAAGAAUAACCGCCGGCUAACUACGUGCCAGCCGCCGCGGUAAUACGUAGGGUGCGAGCGUUAAUCGGAAUUACUGGGCGUAAAGCGUGCGCAGGCGGUUAUGUAAGACAGAUGUGAAAUCCCCGGGCUCAACCUGGGACCUGCAUUUGUGACUGCAUAGCUAGAGUACGGUAGAGGGGGAUGGAAUUCCGCGUGUAGCAGUGAAAUGCGUAGAUAUGCGGAGGAACACCGAUGGCGAAGGCAAUCCCCUGGACCUGUACUGACGCUCAUGCACGAAAGCGUGGGGAGCAAAC